RNAcentral lists this small nuclear RNA (161 nucleotides) under Triticum aestivum (bread wheat). Its description in RNAcentral is "snRNA U1". It matches the Rfam family "U1 spliceosomal RNA". Rfam says of the family: U1 is a small nuclear RNA (snRNA) component of the spliceosome (involved in pre-mRNA splicing). Its 5' end forms complementary base pairs with the 5' splice junction, thus defining the 5' donor site of an intron. The record is from RNAcentral. Lineage: Eukaryota; Viridiplantae; Streptophyta; Magnoliopsida; Poales; Poaceae.
AUACUUACCUGGACGGGGUUGACGGCUGAUCAAGAAGGGCCGUGGCCUAGAUCAAUGGCUCACAAUGCACUUGGUGAGUGCGUUGAUCUACCAUCUUCCCAAGUGGAAGAAUGGAUGUCAUAAUUUAUGGUAGAGGGGGUACGCGUUCGCGCGGCCCCUGC